UACAGAGGCCACGAGCGUUAGGCGGAAUCACUGGGCUUAAAGCGUGUGUAGGUGGAUGGGUAAGUACCUUGUGAAAUCCCACAGCUCAACUGUGGAACUGCUUGGUAUACUGCCCGUCUUGAGGCACUCAGGGGCGAGCGGAACAGAUGGUGGAGCGGUGAAAUGCGUAGAUAUCAUCUGGAACGCCAAUGGUGAAGACAGCUCGCUGGGGGUGUACUGACACUGAGACACGAAAGCCAGGGGAGCAAACGGG
RNAcentral lists this ribosomal RNA (253 nucleotides) under uncultured bacterium. RNAcentral's name for it is "partial 16S ribosomal RNA". It matches the Rfam family "Bacterial small subunit ribosomal RNA", at positions 524 to 776 of the family's 1533-position model. The record is from RNAcentral.